CCCCACUUAGCUCAGAGGUUAGAGCAUCGCAUUUGUAAUAUGACGGUCAUCGGUUCAAAUCUGAUAGUGGUCG
RNAcentral lists this transfer RNA (73 nucleotides) under Zea mays. It matches the Rfam family "tRNA". Rfam says of the family: Transfer RNA (tRNA) molecules are approximately 80 nucleotides in length. Their secondary structure includes four short double-helical elements and three loops (D, anti-codon, and T loops). Further hydrogen bonds mediate the characteristic L-shaped molecular structure. tRNAs have two regions of fundamental functional importance: the anti-codon, which is responsible for specific mRNA codon recognition, and the 3' end, to which the tRNAs corresponding amino acid is attached (by aminoacyl-tRNA synthetases). tRNAs cope with the degeneracy of the genetic code in two manners: having more than one tRNA (with a specific anti-codon) for a particular amino acid; and 'wobble' base-pairing, i.e. permitting non-standard base-pairing at the 3rd anti-codon position. The record is from Rfam by way of RNAcentral. Lineage: Eukaryota; Viridiplantae; Streptophyta; Magnoliopsida; Poales; Poaceae.